GAUGAAGAACGUAGCGAAAUGCGAUAAGUAAUGCGAAUUGCAGAAUUCCGUGAGUCAUCGAAUCUUUGAACGCACAUUGCGCCCUUUGGUAUUCCGAAGGGCAUGCCUGUUCGAGCGUCAUUAUCAACCCUCAAGCCCGGCUUGCCGUUGGGUCCCGUAGGGGUGCGAAUCUCAACGGACCUCAAAGAUAGUGGCAGAGCCCGUACGGACCCUGGAUGCAGCGAGCUUUCUGGCACGCAUCACAGCAAUCCGCCGGCUCGGUCUUAACCGUCAAUUUUUUUUCACUGGUUGACCUCGUAUCAGGUAGGGAUACCCGCUGAACUUAAGCAUAUCAAUAAGCGGAGGA
RNAcentral lists this unclassified non-coding RNA (346 nucleotides) under soil metagenome. RNAcentral describes it as "partial contains 5.8S ribosomal RNA, internal transcribed spacer 2, and large subunit ribosomal RNA". The stretch from base 1 to 120 matches the Rfam family "5.8S ribosomal RNA", at positions 35 to 154 of the family's 154-position model. The record is from RNAcentral.